This 259-nucleotide long non-coding RNA is filed under the name Phoenix dactylifera (date palm). RNAcentral describes it as "long non-coding RNA (PDAC_LNC011669)". The record is from RNAcentral. Lineage: Eukaryota; Viridiplantae; Streptophyta; Magnoliopsida; Arecales; Arecaceae.
AGGGGGGGUGAAUUGGAUUUUAAAAUAAUUAUUGCAAUUAAAAGACUUUGUGAGUAACUAAUUAAAACUUUUGUGAGUGGAUUAAUUAGUUGCUGUAUGCAGUGGAUGAAGGGAAAGAAAGAGACAAUGAAACAAUCACAAACACAAGCAAUUUUAUAGUGGUUCGGAGCUAACCCUUGCUCCUACGUCCACUCCCCAAGCCUCACUUGGGAGUUCACUAUAAUCCCUCGGAUUACAGCCGGUUGUUUCACAAGUUCAN